Molecule: long non-coding RNA, 1716 nt
Organism: Bos taurus (domestic cattle)
Lineage: Eukaryota; Metazoa; Chordata; Mammalia; Artiodactyla; Bovidae
Source: Ensembl
AGGGGUAGGUCAGUCAGGAUCCUAUCAGGAGACAGAAUCUAUUCCACGUAUUGUUAACAGAGAAAGAAGUAUUAACCAGGUCACUGGAAGGCAAAAAGAGAACCUAAGAUAUCAUUAACGUACCAAUUGAAGGAAGUAGUUACUGCCCUAAGGCUGGGGAAUAAAGGGAAGUGGUUGCACUUGGCAACCUAAGGCUUGACAAAAGGUCCCUACUCAGCUGGAACACAGACCUCUGAGAGGAUCUCUAGUGUCUGAGCUCAAGGAGGGGCGCCAAAGUCACUCCCCAUCUCCAAGUACUCUGGCAACUGGGGCUGAUGCCUUUGAAGAGGGCAACAGGCUGGUUGUGUGAAUGUUGGAGAAACUGCAACUAAAUACCACUGUCAGUCUGGAAAGGGGCUACUGCCUCAGGAAACGGUGGUGAUGUUGACAGGAAGCCAACAGGAAGAGGCAAGUCCCUUCCUCCUCCAAUCUCAGUCUCCCUCCAACACUGUGGCCAACAGGGAGCCAACUGGUGAAGCAGAGAUGAGGUUUGAAGAGUCCCAGAUUCUCAACGAGGACAUGAAAGACAAGCCGAUCCGAUUGCAGAAGAGGGACCCUGUGGUCUGCUGGUUAGAGAAAAGUCCUGGAAGCCUGAGCGGGCCCACGGUUUACAGCAUAGCUGAGCAACUGACUCACUCUGAAACCCAGGGUUGCAUCGUUUAACCUCACGGGGCUUGUUGUCCAUCCAGCUGGAAAAUGUGGAAAGAUGUGAGGCUGAACUGAAAAUCAUUUGCGGCCCUGCUGAUUUGCUGGGCCACAGGGCACAGUUUGAGACUGCUGGUCUGACUGAGUACCAGCCCCGUGGGCUGUGACUGGGAAAGGCACACCUUGCAAGAAGCAACUAGAGUUCAUGCUGAUGAGAAUCUCCUCUACAGGAGAGAGAAGCCUCUCUGCAGAAUCAGUGGCUGAGGAUUUCUAGUCUCUGUUCCUGUCUGGUCUCUGUCAAUAAUCAGAUUUCCCUAAAUGGACCUUCAGUGGAUCUUAGUAGUAUCUAGAUCCCCAGCUUGCCAGCUCAUGGUGACUGUGCUCGGCAGGGUAAAUACCCUGCAGUGCCCCUUGCACCUUGUUCCAAGGAUCUGCAGAGCCUGUGGGGACUGAGGGUCAGAUCAGAUUUGCUGAACCAGAGAAGGACUUGAGGGAACAGAGGAGCAAUCUCUGGUUUCCAAACAGGAGUUAACAUAAAACACAUAUCUUUGAAUGGAAAGAAAAUUGAUUGAAAUUUGGUGAGUUAAGUUAAAAGGGAAAACAAUUCGAGGAAGGGACUGUUUAUCUCAUAGGAAAUUGACAUUUGGUAUUGCCUUCAGGUUUCUGAAAGGCAAUAAAGUAUCCCAGGCAUGAUGGCUUCCGAUCUGGGAACUUAAAAAAUGUUGGUAGCGGGAGACUGGCCUUUGAAGGUGACACGUCUGAUAAAACCUACAAAAGUCUUGAUGGGUACUAGGUAGUUCACUAUAAGCCACAAGGGAAUUUCCAAACUGCCCGGGAACACAAUAAAUUUUGCUUGAAUUGACUCUUUUAUUCCCAAGGCUAAUAAUAUUUGGUUUGUGUUUAAAACACCUUUUAGCUCAGCUAGCAGGUCAAAGGAGAAUUAUUUGGGGUAAAUAAACCAUUAGGAUAGAAGCAGAAAUAACAAGAUAAACAUGGCUGUUUACUCACUGUUCACAAAUCCACAUACAGCAG